This 876-nucleotide ribosomal RNA is filed under the name uncultured bacterium. RNAcentral describes it as "bacterial SSU rRNA". It matches the Rfam family "Bacterial small subunit ribosomal RNA", at positions 612 to 1502 of the family's 1533-position model. The record is from RNAcentral.
ACCUUAAAAUUGCAGUUGAUACUGGCGUCCUUGAGUGCGGUUGAGGUGUGCGGAAUUCGUGGUGUAGCGGUGAAAUGCUUAGAUAUCACGAAGAACUCCGAUUGCGAAGGCAGCACACUAAGCCGUAACUGACGUUCAUGCUCGAAAGUGUGGGUAUCAAACAGGAUUAGAUACCCUGGUAGUCCACACGGUAAACGAUGGAUACUCGCUGUUGGCGAUAUACUGUCAGCGGCUUAGCGAAAGCGUUAAGUAUCCCACCUGGGGAGUACGCCGGCAACGGUGAAACUCAAAGGAAUUGACGGGGGCCCGCACAAGCGGAGGAACAUGUGGUUUAAUUCGAUGAUACGCGAGGAACCUUACCCGGGCUUAAAUUGCAAAGGAAUGAUUUGGAAACAGGUCAGUCUUCGGACCUUUGUGAAGGUGCUGCAUGGUUGUCGUCAGCUCGUGCCGUGAGGUGUCGGCUUAAGUGCCAUAACGAGCGCAACCCUCGCCGCCAGUUACUAACAGUUAAAGCUGAGGACUCUGGCGGGACUGCCAUCGUAAGAUGUGAGGAAGGUGGGGAUGACGUCAAAUCAGCACGGCCCUUACGUCCGGGGCUACACACGUGUUACAAUGGGCGGUACAGAAGGCAGCUACCUGGCGACAGGAUGCCAAUCCCUAAAGCCGCUCUCAGUUCGGACUGGAGUCUGCAACCCGACUCCACGAAGCUGGAUUCGCUAGUAAUCGCGCAUCAGCCACGGCGCGGUGAAUACGUUCCCGGGCCUUGUACACACCGCCCGUCAAGCCAUGAAAGCCGGGGGUACCUGAAGUGCGUAACCGCAAGGAGCGCCCUAGGGUAAAACCGGUAAUUGGGGCUAAGUCGUAACAAGGUAACCA